GCCGAAGUGGAGAAAUUGGUAAACUCGCCUGCCUUAGGAGCAGGUGCUUUACAGCUUGAGGGUUCGAGUCCCUCCUUCGGCA
RNAcentral lists this transfer RNA (82 nucleotides) under bacterium. RNAcentral's name for it is "tRNA-Leu". It matches the Rfam family "tRNA". From Rfam's summary of the family: Transfer RNA (tRNA) molecules are approximately 80 nucleotides in length. Their secondary structure includes four short double-helical elements and three loops (D, anti-codon, and T loops). The record is from RNAcentral.